GUUAUUAAAAUCUUUGGUUUGAUUUAAAAGAUUUUUUAAAUUUCAGGUCAAGAUGCAGCUUUUUAUAGUUUUAAUUAGCUACAUUUCAGUAAGUAUGGAUUUGUUUGAUGAAGGUUAUAGGUAAAAUUGAAUUUAGUUGUAAUAGAGGUUUAGAAUGAGGGUAUGAAAUAGGGAGUUA
RNAcentral lists this ribosomal RNA (178 nucleotides) under Minuella sp. DNA101388. Its description in RNAcentral is "partial 12S ribosomal RNA". The record is from RNAcentral. Lineage: Eukaryota; Metazoa; Arthropoda; Arachnida; Opiliones; Kimulidae.